GUUGUAGAUGUGCUCUGUAGUGGGAUCGGUGACAGAGGUUAUCAAAUCAAGUUUCCCUGAGUGACAUUGCUGUAGCUAUCUGGAUGACAAUUUGUGGGAGUCAUCAAGGGCAGAGGCAGAGAGAUAACUUGGCCUGGAGCACCAACAGCACGUUGCCUUAAGGUGCUAACAAGGUAACUGGAGACAGGAAGAUCAGCACAAGAUGUGUCAGAAAGCCUUGAAUGUGAGCAGGAGGCACGUACUGCUGCCUCAGAAAGGUCCCCAGCAUAAAGCCAAAUCUCAAGGGCAGUGGUACUAAAGGAGGAAAAAUGGCCGCCGUUCUCCUGAUAAGAGGAUUCAGAAGUGAACUCUGCAUUGGAAGCUCUGUAAUGCUAAGCUCCGCUCCCACAACAAAUCUUGGGGUUCCAAAGGAGUCAAAUUUCUCAGGGAGAUUGAAAAAAAAAACCUGGGAGGCAGCAGAAAAGGCACAGCUAUGAUUGAAUUCCUGCUGGUGUUCUGCAGUCAAUGGAAAAAACAUCUGAAAGGAACUGUGCUAUGGCCGAUACUUGUUCCUCUGUACCGUCUACCCUCAGUUUGAAGUCAGACAACCAUGCAUAUAGCUGAGUAUUGAAGCCUUUGCUGCCUUGAUACAAGGUUCCAAGUUUAAUCCCCUGCAUUUCCAGCACUGAGAAAGAUGGGCCAGAGAGCACAGCUGCUUAAUGGGACCAACUCUCAGUUCAGGACAUCACUCACAGUCUGUGCUAUUAUUUUCUUUAUCGAUACCUGCUCAGAAAGGGAUUUAAUGGGCUAAAAUUCCCAAUAAACAAUUCAGUAAAUAUUUUCAUAUCUGGUCACAAUCUUGUGGAUAGAGACCCCACUUUUAUCAAGGUAGAUCACUCUCUC
Non-coding RNA from Pogona vitticeps (central bearded dragon), 882 nucleotides. Lineage: Eukaryota; Metazoa; Chordata; Lepidosauria; Squamata; Agamidae. The record is from RefSeq and is a predicted model, not a curated record.